CAAUAGCGUAUAUUAAAGUUGUUGCGGUUAAAAAGCUCGUAGUUGGAUUUCUGCUGAGAACGACCGGUCCGCCCUCUGGGUGUGUAUCUGGCUCUUUCUUGGCAUCUUCUUGGUGAACGUUGCUGCACUUGACUGUGUGGAGCGCUACCCAGGACUUUUACUUUGAGGAAAUUAGAGUGUUUCAAGCAGGCAUACGCCUUGAAUACAUUAGCAUGGAAUAAUAAGAUAGGACCUCGGUUCUAUUUUGUUGGUUUCUAGGACCGAAGUAAUGAUUAAUAGGGAUAGUUGGGGGCAUUAGUAUUUAAUUGUCAGAGGUGAAAUUCUUGGAUUUAUGAAAGACUAACAUCUGCGAAAGCAUUUGCCAAGGAUGUUUUCAUUGA
This 380-nucleotide ribosomal RNA is filed under the name uncultured eukaryote. Its description in RNAcentral is "partial 18S ribosomal RNA". It matches the Rfam family "Eukaryotic small subunit ribosomal RNA", at positions 592 to 976 of the family's 1831-position model. The record is from RNAcentral.